Molecule: small RNA, 784 nt
Filed under: Histoplasma ohiense
Lineage: Eukaryota; Fungi; Ascomycota; Eurotiomycetes; Onygenales; Ajellomycetaceae
Description: hypothetical lncRNA
Source: RNAcentral
AGCACCUAAGUUGCAUAGUUACAGCUGAGGGGGGGUGGAUGGCGUAGUGGUAAGCGCUGUUCAUGGAAUGCUUUCUCAAGUAGGCACUUGGUGUUGGGGCCACCACUGCUGAGACAAGAAGGUAGUGGGUUCGAAUCCCACCUUCUCCAAAAGGAUAUUAUCACAUCUUGGUGGAUAUUAGGGGUACCCUUUCUUAUCUCAUUUCUAUUGGUAACUGCCACUGCAGGGUGGAGCAAUGUUCAACACUAUGUAUAUAGUCUAGAUGGAUUCAGUAUAGUGUGGGAUCCUAAGAUGUUGUGAUUCUUACAUGUCUAGUCCAAGUGACAAGGGACUGCUUAGUAUUGCGUGAGCAAUUGUGGGGCAAGGCCCCCCUUGAGGGCUAGAUCCAGAAUGGUAUAGUGAAGUCUCUCCAUCAAGGAUGACUCAGUUAUGGAUAGAGAAAUGUAACUAGAGAGUAGCCGAACAUAAGGGUAGGCUAGUGAGGUGAAGGCUGUCAUAGUCUCAGACUGCAUAUGGCCUUAGAAAAAAUAUGAACAACAACAACAACAACAACAACAUAGUUACAGCUGAACCAUACCAACGCUUGGCCAACAACUAUGAGUGCGAGCAGACCUCACUAAAACACACUGGCCAUGCAUCAUUAUUCCCGGUGCUCUUGAAUGGCUAAUAUAGUCAUAAAGGAUGUGAAUGUUUCGCCUCUGCUAAAGAAACAUACUUGAACUUGGAAUGAAAGCUGCCAAAUCUACAGCGGAUAGAAUUCUACUGCCUCUUAGUUAUAACCAGA